UGUGAGCUCGAUGAGUAGGGCGGGACACGUGGUAUCCUGUCUGAAUAUGGGGGGACCAUCCUCCAAGGCUAAAUACUCCUGACUGACCGAUAGUGAACCAGUACCGUGAGGGAAAGGCGAAAAGAACCCCGGCGAGGGGAGUGAAAAAGAACCUGAAACCGUGUACGUACAAGCAGUGGGAGCACGCUUAGGCGUGUGACUGCGUACCUUUUGUAUAAUGGGUCAGCGACUUAUAUUCUGUAGCAAGGUUAACCGAAUAGGGGAGCCGAAGGGAAACCGAGUCUUAACUGGGCGUUAAGUUGCAGGGUAUAGACCCGAAACCCGGUGAUCUAGCCAUGGGCAGGUUGAAGGUUGGGUAACACUAACUGGAGGACCGAACCGACUAAUGUUGAAAAAUUAGCGGAUGACUUGUGGCUGGGGGUGAAAGGCCAAUCAAACCGGGAGAUAGCUGGUUCUCCCCGAAAGCUAUUUAGGUAGCGCCUCGUGAAUUCAUCUCCGGGGGUAGAGCACUGUUUCGGCAAGGGGGUCAUCCCGACUUACCAACCCGAUGCAAACUGCGAAUACCGGAGAAUGUUAUCACGGGAGACACACGGCGGGUGCUAACGUCCGUCGUGAAGAGGGAAACAACCCAGACCGCCAGCUAAGGUCCCAAAGUCAUGGUUAAGUGGGAAACGAUGUGGGAAGGCCCAGACAGCCAGGAUGUUGGCUUAGAAGCAGCCAUCAUUUAAAGAAAGCGUAAUAGCUCACUGGUCGAGUCGGCCUGCGCGGAAGAUGUAACGGGGCUAAACCAUGCACCGAAGCUGCGGCAGCGACGCUUAUGCGUUGUUGGGUAGGGGAGCGUUCUGUAAGCCUGUGAAGGUGUACUGUGAGGUAUGCUGGAGGUAUCAGAAGUGCGAAUGCUGACAUAAGUAACGAUAAAGCGGGUGAAAAGCCCGCUCGCCGGAAGACCAAGGGUUCCUGUCCAACGUUAAUCGGGGCAGGGUGAGUCGACCCCUAAGGCGAGGCCGAAAGGCGUAGUCGAUGGGAAACAGGUUAAUAUUCCUGUACUUGGUGUUACUGCGAAGGGGGGACGGAGAAGGCUAUGUUGGCCGGGCGACGGUUGUCCCGGUUUAAGCGUGUAGGCUGGUUUUCCAGGCAAAUCCGGAAAAUCAAGGCUGAGGCGUGAUGACGAGGCACUACGGUGCUGAAGCAACAAAUGCCCUGCUUCCAGGAAAAGCCUCUAAGCAUCAGGUAACAUCAAAUCGUACCCCAAACCGACACAGGUGGUCAGGUAGAGAAUACCAAGGCGCUUGAGAGAACUCGGGUGAAGGAACUAGGCAAAAUGGUGCCGUAACUUCGGGAGAAGGCACGCUGAUAUGUAGGUGAAGUCCCUCGCGGAUGGAGCUGAAAUCAGUCGAAGAUACCAGCUGGCUGCAACUGUUUAUUAAAAACACAGCACUGUGCAAACACGAAAGUGGACGUAUACGGUGUGACGCCUGCCCGGUGCCGGAAGGUUAAUUGAUGGGGUCAGCGCAAGCGAAGCUCUUGAUCGAAGCCCCGGUAAACGGCGGCCGUAACUAUAACGGUCCUAAGGUAGCGAAAUUCCUUGUCGGGUAAGUUCCGACCUGCACGAAUGGCGUAAUGAUGGCCAGGCUGUCUCCACCCGAGACUCAGUGAAAUUGAACUCGCUGUGAAGAUGCAGUGUACCCGCGGCAAGACGGAAAGACCCCGUGAACCUUUACUAUAGCUUGACACUGAACAUUGAGCCUUGAUGUGUAGGAUAGGUGGGAGGCUUUGAAGUGUGGACGCCAGUCUGCAUGGAGCCGACCUUGAAAUACCACCCUUUAAUGUUUGAUGUUCUAACGUGGACCCGUAAUCCGGGUUGCGGACAGUGUCUGGUGGGUAGUUUGACUGGGGCGGUCUCCUCCUAAAGAGUAACGGAGGAGCACGAAGGUUGGCUAAUCCUGGUCGGACAUCAGGAGGUUAGUGCAAUGGCAUAAGCCAGCUUGACUGCGAGCGUGACGGCGCGAGCAGGUGCGAAAGCAGGUCAUAGUGAUCCGGUGGUUCUGAAUGGAAGGGCCAUCGCUCAACGGAUAAAAGGUACUCCGGGGAUAACAGGCUGAUACCGCCCAAGAGUUCAUAUCGACGGCGGUGUUUGGCACCUCGAUGUCGGCUCAUCACAUCCUGGGGCUGAAGUAGGUCCCAAGGGUAUGGCUGUUCGCCAUUUAAAGUGGUACGCGAGCUGGGUUUAGAACGUCGUGAGACAGUUCGGUCCCUAUCUGCCGUGGGCGCUGGAGAACUGAGGGGGGCUGCUCCUAGUACGAGAGGACCGGAGUGGACGCAUCACUGGUGUUCGGGUUGUCAUGCCAAUGGCACUGCCCGGUAGCUAAAUGCGGAAGAGAUAAGUGCUGAAAGCAUCUAAGCACGAAACUUGCCCCGAGAUGAGUUCUCCCUGACUCCUUGAGAGUCCUGAAGGAACGUUGAAGACGACGACGUUGAUAGGCCGGGUGUGUAAGCGCAGCGAUGCGUUGAGCUAACCGGUACUAAUGAACCGUGAGGCUUAACCUU
Molecule: ribosomal RNA, 2547 nt
Filed under: Escherichia coli O104:H4 str. Ec11-5604
Lineage: Bacteria; Pseudomonadati; Pseudomonadota; Gammaproteobacteria; Enterobacterales; Enterobacteriaceae
Description: bacterial LSU rRNA
Rfam family: Bacterial large subunit ribosomal RNA
Source: RNAcentral